RNAcentral lists this ribosomal RNA (253 nucleotides) under uncultured bacterium. RNAcentral describes it as "partial 16S ribosomal RNA". It matches the Rfam family "Bacterial small subunit ribosomal RNA", at positions 524 to 776 of the family's 1533-position model. The record is from RNAcentral.
UACGUAGGGGGCAAGCGUUGUCCGGAAUCAUUGGGCGUAAAGCGCGCGUAGGCGGCCCGGUAAGUCCGUUGUGAAAGUCAAAGGCUCAACCUUUGAAUGCCGAUGGAUACUGCCGGGCUGGAGUCCGGAAGAGGCGAGUGGAAUUCCUGGUGUAGCGGUGGAAUGCGCAGAUAUCAGGAGGAACACCGAUAGCGAAGGCAGCUCGCUGGGACGGUACUGACGCUGAGGCGCGAAAGCGUGGGGAGCAAACAGG